Molecule: transfer RNA, 81 nt
Filed under: Dreissena polymorpha
Lineage: Eukaryota; Metazoa; Mollusca; Bivalvia; Myida; Dreissenidae
Description: tRNA-Thr
Rfam family: tRNA
About the family: Transfer RNA (tRNA) molecules are approximately 80 nucleotides in length. Their secondary structure includes four short double-helical elements and three loops (D, anti-codon, and T loops).
Source: RNAcentral
GUUGUCGUGGCCUAGUGGUUAGGUCGAUCGAUUAGUAAUCAUUGGGAUCUUCCCGCGCAUGUUCGAAUCCUGCCGACAUCG